GAACCGAGCACCGUUACGUUUGCUUCGCCUGCACUGGUUCAUAUUUCAACACAAGCUUCGAAGCAGGAGGGUCGGAGGUAACAGCACUAGUACAGGGCUCAUCCUUACUUCUCACUGCUCCACCACGUGAAGCAACCCUGGUGGUGGGACGCCCAGUGUGGAUUUGUGGACCAUCAACAGUCAUCAUCCUUGUGCUUAAUGUUGACCUGCUAGUGAUGUGGGGACAUUCAUUUUCAUUUCAUUCCCGUCUUCUCCUGGCCCAGAGUCACAGAGCUCUCAUAGCAGCCAGACAGCAGUGGGCUUCAGGACGGAUCCAGCGUCCGUCCGCCACAUCCGCCCUGGACUCGCCCUUCUCUAUAGACCUUCUAGUGUGGAAGCAAACGUCAUCCGUCGCAGCCCGAGUACUGGUCCAGUUCUGCAGUCCGUGUAACCCCCCUGCAGCUGUCGCUUAGAGACAGUGCAGAAUAUACACAAUAAAGGGGAAUAUUCCAUGAGGAGACUCAGACUGGUAAAUAGUUCAAUCGUCUGACAAGAAACGUCCACCCGAAUUACGCUUAACACGACAUGUUUAUUUAGAACACAAUUAGACGACCAAUAGUGCAACAAAUGGCCGAUUCCACACAUCAAAAGUGUCCAAGCAGCUAAUAUGUAAUAAUAAUAUAUAAUAUAAAAAACUUCAAUCUCAGUCUCAGAAGUUCAAUUGGAAAAAAAAUAUCUAAAAGAAGUAUUGUCCUAAAAUGUCCUACCACCUCUGUUUUCUUACGACUGCUUGGACACAAAAAUGUCAAAUAACACAGUUAGUGAAACCUGACACUCAAGGAGCAAAACACAAGCCCAGACCUGCACAACUAUAAGCACAUUCUCAGACUCACACUAUUGGCAAAAUACUACACAGUGUUUCCCUGUGUCCCGUAUCCCUCAACACACUUUUCUACAUUAGACACAGACAUUUUAGAUUAUGUCACUUAAUUGCCUUUUUAGACACUGCCUUAAAAAACGCCACAAAUGUGAACACACUGAUCAAACUCGGGCGACAUUGAGAGGCUGGACAGAGAGUUCAGCUCAACCUCAGCCGAUAAACUGUUCAACAUCAGUAAUACGGACAUUUCGCCAAGAGCACAGGUGAGAAUCACUUUUCUCUACUGUCUAC
This is a long non-coding RNA of Gasterosteus aculeatus aculeatus (three-spined stickleback), 1150 nucleotides long. The record is from Ensembl. NCBI's taxonomy places the organism in Eukaryota, Metazoa, Chordata, Actinopteri, Perciformes, Gasterosteidae.